AACCUGGUUGAUCUUGCCAGUAGUCAUAUGCUUGUCUCAAAGAUUAAGCCAUGCAAGUGAAAGUACAUGCAUAUUUUUAUAUGCGGAAACUGCGAACGGCUCAUUAAAACAGUUAUAAUCUACUUGACAUUUUUUUCUAUAAGGAUAACUACGGAAAAGCUGUAGCUAAUACUUGCUUUAAUGCUCUCGACGAAUGUCUUGGGCAUGUACUUGUUAAGCCUUUAUAAGAAAAAAGUUAAUAACUUAAGGAAUGAUAACAAAGAAGUGACACAUAGAAGGACCUGCGUCCAUUUAUAGUGUGUAUCAAUCGAGUUUCUGACCUAUCAGCUUUUGAUGUUAGGGUAUUGGCCUAACAUUGCUAUGACGGGUAACGGGGAAUUAGAGUUCGAUUCCGGAGAGGGAGCCUGAGAAAUAGCUACCACAUCUAAGGAAGGCAGCAGGCGCGUAAAUUACCCAAUUCUAAAGAAGAGAGGUAGUGACAAGAAAUAACAAUACAAGACCAAAACUGGUUUUGUAAUUGGAAUGAUGGGAAUUUAAAUCCUUCCCAUAAUACAAUUGGAGGGCAAGUCUGGUGCCAGCAGCCGCGGUAAUUCCAGCUCCAAUAGCGUAUAUUAAAAUCGUUGCAGUUAUAAUGUUCGUAGUUAAAUUUGAAAGAAUCAACAUUUUAAGCAACGCGUUUAGCUUAAUCCACACGACUGGUGCUUCGUAUCGGUUGGUACUUAGCAUCGACAUUGUGCGCAUUUUGCUACUACGUGUUCUUCUAAUUAAAAUGAUUCUUUUUAGGGGUUUCCUUUGUUUCGGCAUUGAAUCCCUUGUUACCUUGCGAAAAAUAAACUGUUCAAAGGAAACAGUUAUAUUAUAGCAUUGCGCGUUUCGAAUACUACAGCAGGGAAUAACAAAAUUGAACGAGUAAAAACUUGGUUCAUUUUUCUUAUUUUGGCUUAGUUACGAUUAAUUGGAGUAGCAUGGGGGCAUUUGUAUUCAGAUGUCAGAGGUGAAAUUCUUAGAUUUUCUGGAGACAAACAACUGCGAAAGCAUUUGCCUAAAAUACUUCCAUUAAUCAAGAACGAAAGUUAAGGGAGUGAAGACGAUUAGAUGCCGUCGUAAUCUUAACCAUAAACAAUGCCGACUAGACUAGGCUUUAGAUGAAAAGUUUUAAAAUAAGAGUUUUCUCUUCGGAGUUAACCUCUUAGAUUUGCUUCCUUCAGUGCCUUAGGGGAAAUCAAAACCUUUGGGUUCUGGGGAAAGUAUUCGCGCAAGCGAGAAAGUUAAAAAGAAUUGACGGAAGGGCACCACCAGACGUGGAGCUUGCGGCUUAAUUUGACUCAGCACGGGAAAGCUCACUAGUUUAAGACAAGAGUAGGAUUGAAAGAUUGAGAGAGAGCUCUUUCUUGAUUUCUUGGAUGGUGAUGCAUGGCCGUUUUUAGUUCGUGAAUAUGAUUUGUCUGGUUAAUUCCGAUAACGAACGAGAUCUUAACCUGCUAAUUAGCGGCAAAUACGAUAUAUUCUUACGUGGGACUGAAUUCGGUUGAUUUGCUUCUUGAACGAGGAAUGCCUAGUAAGCACGAUUCAUUAGAUUGUGCUGACUACGUCCCUGCCCUUUGUACACACCGCCCGUCGCUCCUACCGAUCGAAAGAUAUGAUGAAUUGUUUGGACAAGAAGAAAGGGGAUUAUAUCUUCUUUUUUCUGGAUACAACUAUGUAAGAAAGUGAAUUUGGAUUAGUUGUGCAUUGUCAAUAUUUGAGGCGAAUAUUAUGCGGUGCACUUCGAUUC
RNAcentral lists this ribosomal RNA (1774 nucleotides) under Plasmodium vivax (malaria parasite P. vivax). RNAcentral describes it as "rRNA PVP01_0504700". It matches the Rfam family "Eukaryotic small subunit ribosomal RNA". Lineage: Eukaryota; Apicomplexa; Aconoidasida; Haemosporida; Plasmodiidae. The record is from RNAcentral.